Molecule: ribosomal RNA, 567 nt
Filed under: Bacillus sp. 13538
Lineage: Bacteria; Bacillati; Bacillota; Bacilli; Caryophanales; Bacillaceae
Description: bacterial SSU rRNA
Rfam family: Bacterial small subunit ribosomal RNA
Source: RNAcentral
UGCUCCCGGAUGUUAGCGGCGGACGGGUGAGUAACACGUGGGUAACCUGCCUGUAAGACUGGGAUAACUCCGGGAAACCGGAGCUAAUACCGGAUAGUUCCUUGAACCGCAUGGUUCAAGGAUGAAAGACGGUUUCGGCUGUCACUUACAGAUGGACCCGCGGCGCAUUAGCUAGUUGGUGGGGUAAUGGCUCACCAAGGCGACGAUGCGUAGCCGACCUGAGAGGGUGAUCGGCCACACUGGGACUGAGACACGGCCCAGACUCCUACGGGAGGCAGCAGUAGGGAAUCUUCCGCAAUGGACGAAAGUCUGACGGAGCAACGCCGCGUGAGUGAUGAAGGUUUUCGGAUCGUAAAGCUCUGUUGUUAGGGAAGAACAAGUGCGAGAGUAACUGCUCGCACCUUGACGGUACCUAACCAGAAAGCCACGGCUAACUACGUGCCAGCAGCCGCGGUAAUACGUAGGUGGCAAGCGUUGUCCGGAAUUAUUGGGCGUAAAGGGCUCGCAGGCGGUUUCUUAAGUCUGAUGUGAAAGCCCCCGGCUCAACCGGGGAGGGUCAUUGGAAAC